AUACAGAGGGUGCAAGCGUUAUUCGGAAUUACUGGGCAUAAAGCGCACGUAGGCGGCCUUCUAAGUCAGAUGUGAAAGCCCUCGGCUCAACCGAGGAACUGCAUCUGAAACUGGUUGGCUCGAGGACGACAGGGGCGAGUGGAACUCCAGGUGGAACGGUGAAAUGUGUAGAUAUCUGGAGGAACACCGGUGGCGAAAGCGGCUCACUGGGUCGUCUCUGACGCUGAGGUGCGAAAGCUAGGGUAGCAAACGGGAUUAGAUACCCUAGUAGUCC
Molecule: ribosomal RNA, 274 nt
Filed under: uncultured bacterium
Lineage: Bacteria
Description: partial 16S ribosomal RNA
Rfam family: Bacterial small subunit ribosomal RNA
Source: RNAcentral